Molecule: ribosomal RNA, 253 nt
Filed under: uncultured bacterium
Lineage: Bacteria
Description: partial 16S ribosomal RNA
Rfam family: Bacterial small subunit ribosomal RNA
Source: RNAcentral
AACGUAGGAGACAAACGUUAUCCGGAGUUACUGGGCGUAAAGGGCGUGUAGGCGGACUGUUAAGUCUGGCGUGAAAGCUCCCGGCUAAACCGGGAGAGGUCGUUGGAUACUGGCAGACUAGAGGAUGGUAGAGGCGUGUGGAAUUCCGGGUGUAGUGGUGAAAUGCGUAGAGAUCCGGAGGAACACCAGUGGCGAAGGCGACACGCUGGGCCAUACCUGACGCUAAAGCGCGACAGCAUGGGGAGCAAACGGG